GUUCAGCAGGUCAGGGGCCUCACCGAAGCAGUGUAGGCCAUGCAGCAAUAGCCGCAGCGGUCGCAGACAUCUGUGCGACUGGAAAGAGCAUUGCCGGAGUUUCAGAAUCUGACGAUCGAUAGGCCACUUGGGCUAAUCGCCCUGUCUUCCCUAGAAAAGGGAAGCAGAGGGCGGAGAGCCCUUUGUUUGAUAAUGAUUCCACCCCCAGAGGGUCCCUACCUCCAUUCUGCUAGAAGACCCUCAAGCCGCCAAAGAGGAAGGAACAGCCUGA
This 271-nucleotide long non-coding RNA is filed under the name Elaeis guineensis (African oil palm). Its description in RNAcentral is "long non-coding RNA (EGUI_LNC066825)". The record is from RNAcentral. Lineage: Eukaryota; Viridiplantae; Streptophyta; Magnoliopsida; Arecales; Arecaceae.